This 253-nucleotide long non-coding RNA is filed under the name Mustela putorius furo (domestic ferret). Its description in RNAcentral is "lncRNA (ENSMPUG00000027593.1)". Lineage: Eukaryota; Metazoa; Chordata; Mammalia; Carnivora; Mustelidae. The record is from RNAcentral.
CCCGCCGCCUAGUCAUAUUCAUUUGACUUGCUACAUCUGCUUUUCAAGGGCUGCUCAUGCUGUUCUUGAAGGAUUUUAUAGAAGGGCAUUUUCAUGUCAGUAGCCAGAUGAAGAGUUGAAUUUUAAAAUGAAGAGGAGAACUCAAAGUGGUGAUCCAACUUGGAAGCUACCAUCAGAAUAUAAUUCCUGCUGAUAAACUAGAUAUUCGUGAGAAAAUGCAAUUUCCAGGCAUCCCCUCAAGGCGAAGACUUCC